RNAcentral lists this ribosomal RNA (334 nucleotides) under uncultured eukaryote. Its description in RNAcentral is "partial 18S ribosomal RNA". It matches the Rfam family "Eukaryotic small subunit ribosomal RNA", at positions 1470 to 1796 of the family's 1831-position model. The record is from RNAcentral.
CCCUUAGAUGUCCGGGGCCGCACGCGCGCUACACUGAAGGAAUCAGCGUGGCUUUCUCCCUGACCCGAAAGGGUUGGGAAACCCGUUGAAUCUCCUUCGUGAUAGGGAUUGGGGCUUGAAAUUGUUCCCCAUGAACGAGGAAUUCCCAGUAAGCGCGAGUCAUAAGCUCGCGUUGAUUACGUCCCUGCCCUUUGUACACACCGCCCGUCGCUACUACCGAUUGAACGGUUUAGUGAGGGCCUCGGAUUGGUCUCGGCCCGCUCUUUACCGGGCGGCGCCGUUGGUCGAGAUGACGCUCGAACUUGAUCGUUUAGAGGAAGUAAAAGUCGUAACA